This 855-nucleotide ribosomal RNA is filed under the name uncultured archaeon. RNAcentral's name for it is "bacterial SSU rRNA". It matches the Rfam family "Archaeal small subunit ribosomal RNA", at positions 19 to 859 of the family's 1478-position model. The record is from RNAcentral.
GGACCCGACUGCUAUUUGGGUGAGAAUAAGCCGUGCGAGUUGAAUGGGAUGCCAAAAUUUCCCAUAGCAGACUGCUCAGUAACACAUGAUCAACUUACCCUAUAGAGAAAAAUAACCUCGGGAAACUGAGGAUAAUGUUUCACAAUUGAAAAGGCUUGGAAAAGUUUUUCAACGAAAGGGAUAUGAAAAAUGGUUUAUAUCUGCUAUAGGAUAGGAUCGUGGUCGAUUAUGGUUGUUGGUGAGGUAAUGGCUCACCAAGCCGAUAAUCGAUAGGGGCCGUGAGAGCGGAAGCCCCGAGAUGGGUACUGAGACAACGACCCAGGCCUUACGAGGCGCAGCAGGCGCGAAACCUCCGCAAUACACGAAAGUGUGACGGGGUUACCCAAAGUGUUCUAUUAAGAACUGUGGUAGGUGGGUAAUGUCCCCUACUAGAAAGGAGAGGGCAAGGCUGGUGCCAGCCGCCGCGGUAAAACCAGCUCUUCAAGUGGUCGGGAUAAUUAUUGGGCUUAAAGUGUCCGUAGCCGGUUUAGUAAGUUCCUGGUAAAAUCGGGUAGCUUAACUAUCUGUAUGCUAGGAAUACUGCUAUACUAGAGGGCGGGAGAGGUCUGAGGUACUACAGGGGUAGGGGUGAAAUCUUAUAAUCCUUGUAGGACCACCAGUGGCGAAGGCGUCAGACUGGAACGUGCCUGACGGUGAGGGACGAAAGCCAGGGGAGCGAACCGGAUUAGAUACCCGGGUAGUCCUGGCCGUAAACGAUGCAUACUAGGUGAUGGCACGGCCAUGAGCCGUGACAGUGCCGUAGGGAAACCGUUAAGUGUGCCGCCUGGGAAGUACGGUCGCAAGGCUAAAACUUAA